UUUUAGUUAAUUUAAAUUUAAAUAGUAGCUGAAAUAUUUUUUUUGUAUGCACAGCUUUAUUGUUUUUGAAGGACUACACUUCACCUUAAUCUUUGAAAAUUUAACGUCUGAAUUGAGACGUACUAACUGCAGUGGCUAUGCAUAUCUUCCAGUGCAGAAACUUCCUGGGCACAGGAAGGACAUCUUGUAUACAAUGAGACCAUGAAGAAUGAGCUGAAGUCUGAAAAUCGCUCAUAGGACCAGGCAUAGCAUGGGCUUCAUCUCUCGUGGUUCCACUUGACAGUUAUCACUAUUACAAUGUUUCAAGAUACAGAGGGAUUGCAUUGAAGUUGCCAUGAAAAUAAAGG
Molecule: long non-coding RNA, 347 nt
Organism: Lemur catta (Ring-tailed lemur)
Lineage: Eukaryota; Metazoa; Chordata; Mammalia; Primates; Lemuridae
Exons: 4
Source: RefSeq, a predicted model, not a curated record